AAAAUCACGCAAAAGAUGCAAUGGUAAGAGAGCAGAAGUUAAAACAAGGUCAAUCGAAAAGACAUUUAAUUGAAAGAAUACAAGAUAGUAUAAAUCUUUGUGAAUAAAAUUGAGUGCGGGAUAGUGGCGGACGGGUGAGUAACGCGUGAACAAUCUGCCCCGUACAAAGGGAUAGCCUCGGGAAACCGGGAUUAAAACCAUAUAACACUUAACUGCCGCAUGGUAGUGAAGUCAAAUCGAGUAAGAGGUAUGGGAUGAGUUCGCGUCUGAUUAGCUAGUUGGUGAGGUAAGGGCUCACCAAGGCGACGAUCAGUAGCCGGCCUGAGAGGGUGAACGGCCACACUGGAACUGAGACACGGUCCAGACUCCUACGGGAGGCAGCAGUGGGGAAUAUUGCACAAUGGAGGGAACUCUGAUGCAGCGACGCCGCGUGAGUGAAGAAGGUCUUCGGAUCGUAAAACUCUGUCCUUGGUGAAGAAAAGGACGGUAGCCAAGGAGGAAGCCCCGGCUAACUACGUG
This 519-nucleotide ribosomal RNA is filed under the name uncultured bacterium. RNAcentral describes it as "bacterial SSU rRNA". It matches the Rfam family "Bacterial small subunit ribosomal RNA", at positions 65 to 507 of the family's 1533-position model. The record is from RNAcentral.